CCAUAUUUCUCUUCUUCUCCAAUUACCAGAGCUUUCUCUGCUCCAACCCAUAUCCCAAUUUUCAGAACUUGCACGGCCAGUUUGCUAUUGCAAAACUGGUCGGAGGAAAGUGGCCAGGUGAUCAGCGGCACGCCGGCACUGAUACCUUCAAUGGUGGAAUUCCAUCCACAGUGAGUUAAGAAUCCUGCAAUGGCGGAAUGCGACAAAAUCACUACCUGUGGAGCCCAGCCCUUUAUCAAAACACCUCGUCCUUUGAUUCUCUCCUCGAAACCAUUUUCUGAAAUCAAUUUCUCUACUUCGUCUAAUCCAUUCCAAUCUCUUAUGACCCAAAUGAACGGCUUGUUUGAUGCCUCUAAACCCAGUCCCAGUUCCAUUAUCUGUUCAGGCGGUAGAGUACUUAGGCUUCCUAGACAAACGUAGAUUACAGAACUUGGUUCCUGAGCGUCAAGCCAUGUCAACCAUUGGUGUGGGUCGACUGUACUUUUCUUCCCUCUUUCUGCCUUGUCCAAUUCAUUCUUGUUACAGAGCGAAAGAGGCCCGACGCACCAGAUUUUUUCCCCUCGUGCCUUUCUGUAUUCUCUGGUAUACUCCGGUUCUAGCUCUUCAAAAGUAUUUAUAAUCUCCCCAUAUGCUGCAGUUGCUUUUGCUCCUAUUUUCUUCAUCGUCUCCAUGAAGUCCUCGUCCUUGAAGAAUGGUAACUGAGCUUUAGUAAGUUCCACUUUAUCAGGCAAGUUUGUCAGAACAAAAUACUCCGACUCAGAUUUCACGGUUUCAUGGAUUUUGCUGACGAGGAAAUCGUGCAUGCACAUCAGAAAAAAGCAACUCACUGGACGAAACACAAUUCUUGGUACUCUGAACUUGUCGGCAAUAUCGCUGGUAUAUCCAAUUAGAAAAUCAGAUAUGAUGCAGCAAGGUGGCGGUGUUAGCUUCUCGAACAAUUCAUGAACGGGUUCUUCAAGCAAGUCAACUGCUCUGAAGAAAUUCGGAAAUAAGUUAUUUGACUCCAAGGUAUCCAAGUUCUCGAGUCCUUCUGGUAGUCCUGCCUCUGCGCAUGGAAACGGGAGCUGGACCAGAUUGAUUUUGAGACAAGAUCUUACAGCUCGGGAGAUGACUGGUUCUAAUCUUGAAGCAUUGAGAGGGGUUGUAACGAUGGUGAUGAAUGCACCCAGUUGAGCUAAGAGUCUAGCCAGGUCAAUCAUGGGGAUCAUGUGGCCUUGAGCCAUGAAGGGGAACAAGACAAAGUGAAGCUUCUGGUUGUGAUCUUGGGUAUCCAUGGCGUGUCUUAUUGAUAAAAAAGGGAGGUUUUGGACUAUUUAAGGAUCAAAUUAACUUCGUCAAGAAACAUAUAUAAUAUAUAUAACGAAGGUUUAGGAACAAACAAUAUGUAUAUCUACAUAGCCGGUGGUGAGUGGUGAUGCAAGAGGUAACAUACGUACAGAAGAAACAUCUUGAUUUAUAUGGAUCAGCUUAAUUUUUUUGAAAAAUAUUUAUUUACACCUAUAAUUACAUAUAAAUUUUUUAAAAGAUCAUCACCUCAUGUUAGGUAUAUAUCGUAGAAUUUUUCAAUCUCAACAGCGAGAGGCAUAACCGAAAUAAUGAGACAUGAAAAUCAUAUACAUGGCUUAAACUGCAAGAAAUCUUGUUCUAUAGUGUGAUCUAAUAAAAGGAUAGAUAUAUAUAUUUAUAAUAACAUAAAUUUUUUAAUAAAAAUAUAUCACUUAAAUUUAAAUUCUUACUCUCGUAAAAAAAAAAAUAAAAGUAUUAAUAUUCAAUUAAAAUUAUGUUUNNNNNNNNNNNNNNNNNNNNNNNNNNNNNNNNNNNNNNNNNNNNNNNNNNNNNNNNNNNNNNNNNNNNNNNNNNNNNNNNNNNNNNNNNNNNNNNNNNNNNNNNNNNNNNNNNNNNNNNNNNNNNNNNNNNNNNNNNNNNNNNNNNNNNNNNNNNNNNNAUUGACGUUUGUACAAAAUUAAAAGGAUUAACGUGUUCCAAAUAAUUGCAUGGUUACUAGUCAAUUAAGAGCUAGUUGACUCGAAUUAUAUAUAAUUAAAAUUAAUUAAUUAUAUAUACACACCAUUAAGAGGGUUGAAGACUUUAUUUAUCACGUGAAUGGUUUUCCAAAAAGAAAAAAGAGGAUUCAUGCGGCUGAUAAUUUACGUACCAUGCAAGCAAUGUUAUAGGAAAGUGUAGUGUAUAUAUUUAUUAGCUUAAAAAUUAAAAAUACUAAUAACCAAUACAAGUAAUAAGAUUGUGACUUUAUAAAUAGUAUUAGAGUUAGAACACAACAUCAGAACAGAUCUAAUUCUGAAUAUUUAUUUCUGACAUGGGAGUUUGUAACAUUCAAAAUAUUAGUUAUAUUUAUAACUAAUAUAACACAUUAGUUAUACAUUAAGAUCAUACUAGAUACGUGUAUAUAUAUAUAAUGGUAGUAGUUCAUCAGUGAAAUAUCAGGAGAGAAAAAAUGGUGAUUUUCAGAACAAGAAAUCAGAUUUAGUUCACCAACCGUCCUGAUCAUUCACUCUAAUUUCUUCUGUGUUUACUCCUUUCUGCAGUAUAAUGUUUCAAUGCGUGUACUUGUUUCCAGUGUUUAAACACAAGAUUUGACUCAAUUCCCCGUUUCAUUUUGCAGUAACACACACACACGUACAUAUAUAUAUAUAAAGGCAUAUGUGAAAAGAAGAUUCCCACAAAUAACUGAAUAAGACCAGACUGCUGGUGGGUUUGUGGCCAUACUGCGUCAAAAUAAUUGAAUUCUAUAUAUACCAUAUGUUGAGAAUCAAUUUGUUUUCCAAAAAGCUGUGUGCUUUUUCAUCCAUUCAAACUCUUGGAUUCCCAAGAUGAUAAAAAGAAAAUUUCAAUUUGUCUUGUUUCUGUUCAUGGCUCAAGACCACAUGAUCCCACGGGAUAUUUGGAUGUGGCCGACGCCAUUAUCAUAAGACCUGUUAAUGCAGCCAGAUUUUAACUGAUCCAUGACAGCGAUGUGCAGGCUGGCUUCGGUGUCCAUUUUUACCCACUGCUUCAUUUACUUGCCUCGAAGAUUCGACACAGUGAAAUUGGAUUCAAGGGUACUUUCUUUUAACAAACCUGACUGAGAAAGUUGAACUAAAGAAAAAACCCAGAUAAUAUUUUUAAGAGUUAAAGAAGAGCGACUAUAAAUACUUUUGAAGAACUGGGGCUAGAAUAGAUUAGAUGAAGCGGAGAAAUGGAUUUUAGAGGCUGGGUUUGAGGAGAGGUUUGAACGGAGACGUAUUUUUUGGUAAAAGGGUAGAUCUCCACAACUACUGGAUAUUGUCUCACUCUGUAAUUGCAGAAUUUUUAACGCACAAGUAUUGGAUAUCAAAAAGGCUGUCAACAAUGUGAUUGGAUAAAAGGUGCAGAAGGAGGAAGAAGAGAACUGAGCUUGAGAACUUGCAAAAAUUGACAGAGAAAGCUGUUGAAGACAGAGUAUCUUCUCACUUUAACAUCACUAUGUUAACCAAACAUAAAAUGCAACAAGAAUCUUCCUGAUUUGAAAGUUUAAUUUUAUGAUUGAAUUUCAACCACACUGCAUUAAGAAUGUUGCAAUGGCCGGGUGUGGCAAUAUCAGUACUUAUGGAGCUCAACACUUUACUUGAUCCUCUCUCCGAAUCCAUCCUCUGAAACCCAUUUCUCGAUUUCAUCAAUUCCAUUCAAGACUCGUAUGACCCAAAUGAAUGGCCUGUUUGAUUCCUCUAACCUUAUUCCCCUGCUCAAUUAAUUGUGCAGCUGGUGCAUUACUGAGGCUUCUAAGACAAACAUACACUACAGAGCUUGGCACCUGAGAGUCAAUCCAGUUCAAGCAUUGUGAUGUGAGCACGGAUAGUUUGGACUAUUGAAGAAACUUUAAGACAAGAUCAAAGUAAUUUGAUUGGAUUUGGAUCUUUGGGAAGAGCAUUAUGAUGCCUAGCGAGCCUAUUACGAGGAAGGGCCAAAAGACUUAAACAAGCAUUCCAACUCUUUGUUCAAGAAUGGAUAAGUGAUGCUGAAUAAAUUAUUCAAAAUUAUGUUAGUAUUAAUUUUUCAUCGUCAACUUGCUUGCUGCUGCAUAAUAUCUUGAAUAAACAUAAUGAUGUUAAGGUGAGAAGAUCCUCCUUCUUCAACACUUCUCUUCGCCAUUUCUGCAAGCUUCUUUGCUCGUUGUCUUCUUCCAUCUCCUUCCUCACCUCUAUCUAUCACUUUCUCUAUCACAUCUUUAAUCACUUCCUUCUUUACACACACCCCAUAUUUCUCUUCUUCUCCAAUUACCAGAGCUUUCUCUGCUCCAACCCAUAUCCCAAUUUUCAGAACUUGCACGGCCAGUUUGCUAUUGCAAAACUGGUCGGAGGAAAGUGGCCAGGUGAUCAGCGGCACGCCAGCACUGAUACCUUCAAUGGUGGAAUUCCAUCCACAGUGAGUUAAGAAUCCUGCAAUGGCGGAAUGCGACAAAAUCACUAC
Molecule: long non-coding RNA, 4446 nt
Filed under: Carica papaya (papaya)
Lineage: Eukaryota; Viridiplantae; Streptophyta; Magnoliopsida; Brassicales; Caricaceae
Description: long non-coding RNA (CPAP_LNC012331)
Source: RNAcentral